GCGCCGAAGGAGCCUCGGUUGGCCC
This 25-nucleotide non-coding RNA is filed under the name Mus musculus (house mouse). Lineage: Eukaryota; Metazoa; Chordata; Mammalia; Rodentia; Muridae. The record is from RNAcentral.